RNAcentral lists this ribosomal RNA (112 nucleotides) under Bacillus amyloliquefaciens. Its description in RNAcentral is "partial 23S ribosomal RNA". It matches the Rfam family "Bacterial large subunit ribosomal RNA", at positions 2814 to 2925 of the family's 2925-position model. The record is from RNAcentral. Lineage: Bacteria; Bacillati; Bacillota; Bacilli; Caryophanales; Bacillaceae. RNAcentral also lists the same sequence under 3 other names.
CCAUUCCGCAAGGAAGUAAGAUCCCUGAAAGAUGAUCAGGUUGAUAGGUCUGAGGUGGAAGUGUGGCGACACAUGGAGCUGACAGAUACUAAUCGAUCGAGGACUUAACCAA